Non-coding RNA from Podarcis lilfordi (Lilford's wall lizard), 70 nucleotides. The record is from the annotation of a GenBank genome assembly. Lineage: Eukaryota; Metazoa; Chordata; Lepidosauria; Squamata; Lacertidae.
GGAUAGCUCAGUUGGUGAGAGUGUGGUGCUGAUAAGGCCAAGGUUGCAGGUGAAAUCCCUGUGUGGGACA